Molecule: ribosomal RNA, 253 nt
Filed under: uncultured bacterium
Lineage: Bacteria
Description: partial 16S ribosomal RNA
Rfam family: Bacterial small subunit ribosomal RNA
Source: RNAcentral
UACGAAGGACCCGAGCGUUAUCCGGAUUUAUUGGGUUUAAAGGGUGCGUAGGCGGAUUAUUAAGUCAGUGGUGAAAGCCUACAGCUUAACUGUAGAAUUGCCAUUGAUACUGAUGAUCUUGAGUAUGAUUGAGGUGGGCGGAAUGUGUCAUGUAGCGGUGAAAUGCUUAGAUAUGACACAGAACACCGAUUGCGAAGGCAGCUGGCUAAACUAAAAUUGACGCUGAGGCACGAAAGUGUGGGGAUCAAACAGG